Molecule: long non-coding RNA, 42794 nt
Filed under: Malus domestica (apple)
Lineage: Eukaryota; Viridiplantae; Streptophyta; Magnoliopsida; Rosales; Rosaceae
Description: long non-coding RNA (MDOM_LNC011353)
Source: RNAcentral
CGGCGGACACGUCAACCCCGCCGUCACCUUCGGCGCCUUCAUCGGCGGCAAUAUCUCUCUCCUCCGCGGCCUCCUCUACUGGAUCGCCCAGCUCCUCGGGGCCACCGUCGCCUGCGGCCUCCUCAAGUUGGUCACCAACGGCCAGGUAACUUUCUCAUCUCCCACUUCCCACUCCACGUUCCGUUAAUACCGUUUUUUUAGGUAAAUAAAAAAGUGACUUAAGCUACGGGUUUUGAUACGGUGCUUCGCAGACUACCGCUGCUUUCUCCCUGUCCCCGGGAGUGGGAGUGUGGAACGCGUUCGUUUUCGAGAUCGUGAUGACGUUCGGACUGGUCUACACGGUCUACGCGACCGCGAUUGACCCGAAGAAAGGGAGCGUGGGGACAAUCGCGCCCAUCGCGAUUGGUUUCAUCGUUGGCGCCAACAUUUUGGCGGGUGGGGCUUUUGACGGGGCGUCCAUGAACCCGGCCGUUUCUUUCGGGCCGGCGUUGGUGAGCUGGAGCUGGGAGAACCACUGGGUCUACUGGGCCGGGCCUUUGAUCGGCGCCGGGAUCGCCGGGGUCAUCUACGAGUUCGUGUUCAUCGGCAACAGCGGCCACGAGCAACUGCCCUCCACUGACUACUAAUUGAUUAAGCCUUAAGUAAGUAAGCUUAAUUAAGGAGUCAUAAGAUUUAAUUACAUUUGCAUGCAUGCUGGGUUUUGGACCUUUGAGUUCUUGUGUUUCGUUUCAUCAAGAAAAUCAUGAUCAUGAUCGUUGUCGUCAUGAGUUGAUCUCCAUCGUUGAUUUGUAAUUUGUUUUGCAUGCUCUCCGCUGUUGUGUCACUAAAUUCCAUUUAUCUUUUGUAUUUACUGUAUUUUAAAUUGUUCUUAAUUUUAUCGACUGCUAGUUUGGACCCUACGAGAAUGAUCGGAGAAAAGCAAAUACUAAGGUGGGGUUUAGUUAAAAAGUUAAAUCUGGAACCUCACUUAAUUUUUCGGUAGGUUUAACCUACCCUUUACGGUAAAAACCACCCUGCAUGCAACUGAUUUGACCCUUGCCACCGACAAUAUAAUAUUUUCUUGGAUUCGUUCAUAAUCAUAUGAUUAAUAUUACACUAAUCAUAUUUUUAAACUACGCUGGUGAAUCAAAUUAUAGAAAACUUAGAGCGUACUUGCCAGGUAAUUAAAUUCUUAUUAUCAUUAUGACAGAUCAUAAAUAAUACAUCAUCAUUACUUGAUAAUUUAAAAUAAUUCGUAAUAAAAUCAAUUGUCUCAAAGUAUAUAACUAACGAGAAUUAACGUAUGCAUGCAUAUGUGAGGCUGAAUUUCAAGUGAAUUGAUCCUUUUUUAACGGAGAAAAAAAAACUUAUACAUGCAUCUGAUGAUGUGUCUGUGUGUUUGAUUCCUCUUUUUCAAUAUGUAGUUUGAAUAGAAAUGGUAUUCAUAUUUUGUGCAAUAUAUUGAAAUUAAGCAAGCAGAAAACAUACAUUUUGAAACUAAUUACAACUAGCUACAAGAUAUUCUUAUUUAUAAAUGGUAUAUAUUUAGAAGUAAUAUUACCAACCUAGCUAAAGCUAAGCUUGGCCAACGUAAAUACAAUUUAUAUAAAUAUAUAUAUAUAUACACACACACACACAACUAUUUUACAUGUGACUAGCUAUGGAGGAGUAAAUUCAACUCAACUGCAUGCAUGAUGCAUCUUCAAUAUUUGUGCAUGCAAUGCAAUGCAUGGUGAUUCAAUUAAUAUCAUGUGGCCUUGGAAAUUAAAGGGGCUUUUGAUAUGAUAUAGUCUUUAUGUCGGUGGAUGUAUUUGAUUUCACGUGGACGGCCUGAGGUGGGUGUGAUUCACGUCCAGGUCCACCAUAAAAAUGAAGACUGCCCAUAUGAAAUGUAUGCGACAAAAUUAAGUAAAAAGAUGGCACUAUAACGUUUCGUUCUAACAAAAUGAUGAUAAGCGUAAGUUUUUUAACACACAUCAAUGUUUUAAGUGAAUCAGGUGUAAACGUGUUCGAUAUAAGUUGUUCUCAAACUAGAGGAAGGGUACUAUACCCUACUUCCAUUUCACAGAAGUCCGAAAAUGAUCUUCAUGGAGCGAAUUCAUCUUUCAUUUCACGCAACAAUACAUUACCAGAUUAAAAACGAGGACAUUAUAACCUUAAAUCCGUUUUGUAUAAAAGCCGCUCUCGACAUUCCUAAUCAUCAUCUCACCCUCAAUCAUGAAAUGUGAAGCAAUCAGAGCACGUGAGAAUUAUGGACCAUUUUUUUGCAGUAUCAUCACCAUCACCAAAUGGAUGGACCCUAAACUUGUCCUUUUAGUCUGCCUCUUUUGGCUACCUUUGCGGGGUGCCAUUGUUUUCAAACUCUAAAGCUCAAAAGCUUACUCCUUUUUUUUCUCCAUUGAAAAGCUUCGACGUGUUAAUUACCCUUCUUUCUCUCACUGCAAUAUUCACUACUGCAGGAAUAUACUGUUGGAUGAGGCAAGUGGCGAAGUCCAUGACGUGGUUCCAAGGUGGCCACAGAUUCCAUGCUACCUUCCAAAUUUCAAAGAUCUUCAAAAGAGAUUUUCGGGUCCCAUACCUCACCCGCCCAUAUGAGUUUCUUUUUCAAUCACACAGUUCAAAAUUAAUUUACCGUUUUGAUCAUAUGCGGUAUUAUCAUUCUAAGUUGCAUUAAAUUUAGGAAACUUUAACGAAAAGCACCCGGUACUGUUCAUUUUAACGAAAAAUCACAUUUUUACACUAAAAAGUCAAUCCUGGUACUAUUCACUUUACCCUUUAUUUUGUCCUUAUCAUUAAAACUCAAAGUUUUCAAGCCCUUUUCAUUAGUUUUCCUUUAAAUUUAAGAGGAGCGGAAACGGAUGAGAGUUUGAAUCCGAAGAUUGAAUAAGUCAAAAAAAUCAAGUAACUACUAUUAAGGGAAGCGGAUAUUGAGAGUUUGAAUAUGAAUGUCCAAGUCCAAUAAGAGAAGCAUUAGAAAAACCAUUUUUAUAUGGGCAGAUAGAUUAGAGUCUGAAUAUGAAGAUUCAAUAAGAACAAAUAUUAUCAUUCUAAGUUAUAUCAAGAGAAGCGGAAAUGAAGGAGAGUUUGAAUACGAAGAUUCAGUAAGAGAAACCGUUUUCUCUACAUGGUUACUUCGUCUAUAUAUUAAGACGGUUCUAUACAAAUAUCUUGGUUUUAAAAACUGCACAUAUUUACUAGCAUAGUCCACCACUUACAGUAUAUGUUUGAAAUUUCAAAAUAUAUAUCAAUAGUAGUAAACGUAAGAGAGAAUAUAUUAACAAUCGAGAUCACGUUGUUUCGAUUACCAUGCAAGGAUAUGACAUUUCACCCUUCCAUGUUUGUAUUUUUACUCUCUUGGAAUGUUGCGUGUAUAUAUGAGCAUGUAAUGCUUUGAAUUUAGACAAAAGUCGAUUCCAUGACUUUACAGCGAAGCAGGUGAAUUUUUUUUCUUUCUUGACUCAAAAUUUUACAUCUCUUUGGCUCUUAUAGCUUAAUAAUAGCGCACCAUUUUCAACUGGUGUCCAGUGGCGUUCCAUCUGUGGCCUUUGUCCCACUAGGUUGCUCGGAUUAUUAAUUAUAAACCAUAAACCAUGAGUGAGGUUGGUAAGGUGGGGAUGGACGGUGAUGAACAAACAAAUGAGGAUCCUUUAUGUAUUUUUUAUGAGGAUUUCGAAGAUUAUUUAAUUUUGUUUAUUUAUCGUACAUUAUGCGGUUAAAAAUUAUUUUAUUUUAUAUUUAAAAUUGAACACAAAUAAUAUCCGACAAAAGCUGAUCGCACGAUUUACUAUAAAUAGAUACGAUUAAAGGAUCAUCUGGAUCCUCACAAAGAGGAUAUGGAGACGAUCCUCAUUCUAAACAAAUAUCAAAUAUCUGCGUGUGGAGGACAAGUUCACAGGCACCCAUCACGUCAUGUUUUAAUAAAAUAACGAUCUGUGUAAGGUUUUCAAUUGUGUAAGGUUUUCAACACAUGACAUGUAUCAGACAAGGAUGUUAUAUGAAGGCGAACUCGUUUGAUGUAAAAUGCUCUUUUUUGUGAGGAAAAAACCUUAUAUAUAACUAGUUACAAUCAAUGUGGCGUCGUAAUCCAGUAACGUCAUGUUAUGUGUAGAAUUUUCUCUACACAAUAUAAUAUUAUUGAAUCGGUACGUUACAUGAUUGUAAAUAUGACAAGUUAAUUUACUAUGUUAGAGCCACCGUGUACGUAUGGCCUUAAAUAUUCUUGUUCUCCAACAAAUACUAGACAAUUUGAAUAGUUGAGGGAAUUAUAUAAGGAAUUAGGAGGCACUGUGGGUAUCCAUAUGGUCAUAUGGACAAUUUUAAUUAGUCUAAUCCCCCAUGCCAACAUUCUAAAUUAAAGUAUGAAUUAUCCUAACCGAAAAUAAUCCCAUCCAUCAAUUGGGAUUAUAAUAAAAGGCAAGCCACGAUUAUUCUUAAAAAGGCAAUCAUCAUUCUUUAUAUAAUAAAAGGCCACCUCAUCCUCAUUUUGGUAGGAAGCCUCCUGAAAUGCUUCCUUUCACAUUCAUAUAUUAUGUAUGUUUGUAUCAUACUUGACCAAUCCCGAAAUUACUGAGCACCGGUCAAAGUUAUAUGGUCAAGGACCCAGAAGAGUUUCCCUCUAACCAGGAGGCCAAUCAUAGUGCGACACGUGUCAACAUCAAAAGCCAAUCAUACGAACGGUCAAUAAAAAAAAAAUCAACCAAAACACGACACGUGUCCAAUGUUCAGAGCAAAGGUGAAAUUCUCUUCUAUAAAAGGAGAUCUCUCUCCCACAAUAUUUUUAAUGUCAUUUGUACCAAAAUCAUUACUACGUAUCACUAAAGGAAGCUUGAACCUAAAUGUAUUUGCGCCUUCACAAUUAUUUAAGAACGCUUUACUUCUGGACGUACCAAUCUGAUGAACGAUGUAAUCUUGUGUUUGCUUCCCUGUCUCUAUCCAUUUACAUACUAUUAUCCACACUAGUGAUCAAGGAAGGCUAAGUCUCGCGAAUGAACACAAACUGACAUUCUUGUGAGUACCAGUCCGUACAUCUGAUAAUGUUGCAUAGACAUCUUUUGGCCGUCUGUUGUGCGAAUAAGACACUUACCUUCCUAUAAAUUGCUCUUCAGCGUUUGAGUCUAAGGCUGGGCUUUCCACAUUGUCACAAUUCCUCUAUUUGGACAGCCAGUCAAGUCAUCAUACCCUAUCACGAGAUCAAUUGGGGACGCGAAGGAAUCCACUACAUAAAAGAAGAGGAACGAUGGGUCACCCAUCUGCCCUAGUGCAUAAGGACAAUGAAAGAGGAACAAAAGAGAGUUUUCUCUUCAGGCUUAAAGUCGAUUAGCUGAAGCCUCGAACAACAAGAAUAGCAAUGAAGAAUGAGAUAUUCCAAGAGCAGUAUGAGAAGGACUUUGAGGAGCCUCCAAUCGAGUAGAUAAUAACUAAAACCACACAGUCAUCACCCCUGUGGAACUCACCAUCAACUGGUGCCUCCAACACGGAGGGUCAUUUGCCCUCAACAGGGUAUUCCUGUUGAGGAGGAGCUACUAUCGAAAUGGCGACCAACAGAGAUUUCUUCCAACCUAGCUGCUUCGACCAGGAAUAGGAGGAGUGGAGGAAGGCACAUUCUUAGACAGAAGGAGGGAAGAUCGAAAGUCCGUCUUUAGCGAGAUAGUCGAGACUAACAAAAAACGAAUGAAGACAAUGUCGAUCCAUGUAAGCUCGAAGAACUACCCAGGGUCCUGAAUCGGUCCCUCUAAUGUUCCAGGCUGGCUUCCAAUUUUGGGGAGGGGCAACAAGUCAGAGAAACACGAAGUUUAUUGAGGGGACUUAGAAGAUGUUCAACAGACCAUACAUUAAGUACGGCGAUCCAAGGAAAAAUCACAUCGCUCUUGACUCAAUCUCUCCUACUUCAAGAGAAAAGGAGAUUACGAAAGAAAUCUCCAUGGUACAUGACUCCACUCAAGGACCCUCUUUGUCCGACAUUUCUUUAAGGAAGAAACAAGUUGAAUGUAAAUGAACGACAAGCUGAGAUGAAGGUUAAGAAAACCUAGGCCUGACCAUUCUCUUAAAAGAAGAUCCUCGACACCUGUCUCUAUGGACCAAGCGAGAGACAACAAAAAACGUUCGGUUUAGUAAAUCCAGACCAGCUGGAAGGUUGUGUAUUCUGUUUUUUUUCUCGAAAUUUUUCGAAUAUCUAUUGCCUAACCUUCUUUGAGGUCCCAUCUCAUGGUGGCUUUCUGUCUGUAUGUUACGCAAGUCGUGAACAAUUACUGCCAUGACUUUCUAUUCGCGCCUUCUUUCCACCCGUCUCUGUUGUGGGUAGCUAUCCAUGAGGCAGUGAAGUCGCUCUUGCGAGUCCAUGAAGUCAUCUUAUCGUAAGCUAAGACCAAUCGCCAGCACAUACCUAUGACACCAUGAUGGAACAAGAACCCCACCCUAAAAGCUUGACAGCAACGAUGGCCUGGUGUUACGUGAUAUUGUUUCUUCAAUGUAAGCGCAGACAGUUGAAUCAAGCUAACACUUUCGGAGAUUUGAAUAUGAAGGUGAAAUUACGAGACAUUUUAUGCUCUCACUAAUCCACGCCGGCGCCGAAGCAAGGAAUAUACAAGGGAACCUCAUAUGGUACACCUUAUCAACAAAUGAGAAGGUGAAGUCCAAGUUCUACCAAAGUGAGGAGAUCUUGGCCAUACUUUAGAACACCCCCACUGCAUCCCUCCUGCUCAAUUUAGCUACUCGCUAAGUCACCCAACGUAUUUGGUCUCUUGGGUAAAAAGGAAUGAUGUUUACUCUCAACAAACCCAUUACAACAAGAGGGAUAAAAGUAUCGUAUUAAGACAACCAGGGUGAAGUACUCCGCGACUAUUAUGGACUAGAGGGCCAAGCCUACACUCUUUCAAAAAAAGAAGGACUACAAAACUUAUGAAGGAACAUGCUAAUUAUAGGAGACAUUAGCAAUUGAAGUCCAGCACUAAUUUAGACCCUUAACCGCUUGAGAUCUUUUUCACAUAAGCAUAGCAGAUCUUCUAAAUUUAAAAAGAGGGAAUCAGACACUUAUUUAUCUUUUGCUUCUGUUCCUCAGCUUGGUUCGCGACCGCUGACUUACUCUACCUAUCCUAUUCAAGCUUCAACAAUGCGUCUUUCACAACCAAUGCGUAGACUACACACCUAUCUAGUUUUUAAACAUAGUUCGAACAUCGCGCAAAACAUGGAUCCUUUAAUGGCAUAGAAAAACAUUCAUAAGCUCCACUCAUGUCCACACAUGUCAAGACAUAAAUACAUUAUAACACCAUUCAACAAUAUCUAUCAUACAUUCCAAACACAUUCAUAACCACACAAUCUAUAAGGAUUUCAUAACAAAUCCAUACGAUAAGACAACGUGCUGUGCUAAAAAAGGGUUUCAACAUACUUUGUUCUUUGACAUAUUACACUUGAGAAACCGAGAUAACAAAAACUUUGCCUUGGCCGAAGACUGCUCAUAUUCAAAUCACCAACCAGGUGAUGACAUGAUAUGGGAACGACGACCGUAACCAAUAUAUCAUCUUUGUCAGAAAUUGCUGCGCCAUUCCACUACCGUACUACUGUAUUCAGCCAGAACUGGGUGGUAAGAAAUCGGAACUCCACCUAAAUAUCGUGCCACCAGUAGGUGAUGAAAUGUACACCCUAUACUCUCUUUCAGUCACUAACGCAGGUGAUGAAAUUACAACCCGUAAUCUAAUUCAUUUGGUACUUGCCACUAUGCCACCAACCAGUGAAGAGGAACUCAUCUUUGUCCACCAACCAGGUGAUCGAAUGUGAGAGAGGAAGCUUACUUCGUGCUCCAACCAGGUGAUGAAAGAACAGACCUGUACUCUAAUAUAUUUGCGCAACUUGCCACUCUUAUCACACUCAGGUGAAGAAACUCAUAUUCAUGCCGCCAACCAGGUGGAUGAAAUGUAAACCUGUAACUCCGCUGCUUGCACACCAGGUAGAUUAGUCAAGAAUGUGGUCGGAGUGCGCAUCACAUAUGGUGCCACCAAGCAGUGAUCAAAAUGUGAUGAAAAGGGUGAUGAAGGACUUCAUUUCGCUACCAACACCAUAGUGAUCGAACAGUCCAUAUUGAGCGCGGAGGUCCACAACACCAGUGAGAAUGUUUACAAAUUAAACUUUACAUAAGUAGCAUAAAAAAAUGAACCCUCAAGCUUGAACAAAUAAACUAGGGGGGCACUUAUUGCCUAACAAGAGUUAUAGGACCAACAAAGUCUUAUAUGCAAGGCAACAACGACUUUAGUGCAUGUAUUACGAAUCAAGCUCUUUCACCUCUUGCAUCUGCUUCAGACAUUUCUCCUCUGUAACAAUGCAACCAUUAUAACUCGUAGAAAGCUUCAGACACUCUUGAUCAAGAGCACGUUAGAAAGCAAAUUCCAUUUAUCUGAGUUAGUUUUCUCAACCGUCGACUAUACAUAGGCGGAGGCACUGCGUCACAAUGUCGUCACUCGGCUAGGAGGUAAGCAAGAAUUGUAUAUGUUUCUCUUUACAUUUGUGGUCAAAUUUGCUAAGUUUUGCCUAAAAAACAAUAGAGAAAUUGGGCAAAUUCCAACAACUUCACAAAGGAGGCGCCAUUAUAAUUCUCAAAACAGCACACAUCUUGACAAGAUAGUUGAAGCAAAUCAGAUCAUGGUACCCAAUAAAGCUUCAACCUCCAAAGCUUCCCUACAAAGCCUCACUAAAAAAAAACUCAAACCUCAAAGCUUCACAAAAAUAGUUCUUAUCUUUGAGAGUUAGGAGGGCAGAGCUAACAAUUCUUAAACGCUUCUUCACACACUCGUGAUCAAGACGAAGAUGUAAGCAAACCAAAUUUAUUGUGCCGGAAUGAAAAGAAAGCUUCAUUCAAAGGAUUCACCAAACCAAUUCACACACACUCUUGAUCAAUCACAGUGUGUAAGCAAAACCAUUUUAUUGUGCACAAAACUUCAUCAAUGGGGCAACAAAAUUCUCAAAAGCUUCAACACUUUGAUCAAGAUAGUGUAUAGUAAAACCAAUUUAGGUCCAAACAAAAGCUUCAUCAAAAGGAGUUCAACACAAUUAGAAAAGUUCACACAUUCUGAUUAAGGCAGUGUGAAGCAUAAAUCAAUUUUGGUGCCCAACAAAAGCUCAUUCAAUGGAGGGCAAUACAAUUCUCAAAAAGCUUCACAAACUCUUGAUCAAGACAGUGGUGAAGCAAACCAAUUUAUGGUGCCAACAAAAGCUCACUACAAAUUAUUCUCAAAUUCACCUCCAAGCUACCAAUCCCAAAUCAGACAAAAGUUCAACUCCAAGUUUCACCUACAAAAGCUAACUCUAAACCUUCAACACAAAAGCUUCACCUACAAAUCUUCAACACAAAGUUCACCUACAAAAGCUUCAUGUCAAUUCUCAUCCAUAGCUCACUUACAAGCUUACAUAAAAGCUUCACACAAAAGCUUUACCUAAAAAGCUUCACCUAAAAGCUUCACUUACAAAGCUUCACCUACAAAGCUCAACCUCCAAAAGCCUCUAAAGCUUCACACACUCUUGAUCAAAUAGUGUGAAGCAAAUCAAUCUCAUGGCUCCAACAAAGCUUAAUCUUAAACAUCACUUACAAAGCUUAAAUAUAUAUAUUUUCGAAAAUUCGAAAAAUAUCGAAAAAUUCGAACAAUUCAAAAAAUAAAAAAAAAAAAAAAAUCUAAAAAUUAAACAUUUUUCUAGAAAUUCGAAAAAAAAGCCCUAAUGAAAAAUGCUUUGGGUAACAACUUUCAUAACAACAUAUAUAUAAGAUUUGGGCUACACAAAAGGAAAAUCGGCACUUGUUACUCAAAAAGGCUACUAGCAAGACACCUCAUUCGUCAAACAAUCCACGGCACGUAACUUGGGGGAAUCAUACCAAUUGGACUGAAAAAACCCAAUCUAGACCACACCACACGUUGGGAUUUUUGCAGUCUCAAACCUGAGAGAAGUUUUCUUCACAUCGGGAAAUACAGGGAGCAUUAACCAUCAACCGUACAUGCUCACUACAAAGCUUCAACAUAUACAGCUUCAACAAAAAAAAAAUGCAAAGAUUUAGUGAAGAAAAGGCUUUUGGUGAAAUUUUAAGCAAAUACGUUAAAUGAAAGCAAAGCUUAUUUAAAAUUGAUAACCUUUCCAAUACAGUUACAAAAUAUGUGCAUAUACAUGAAAUAAAAUAAAAACAAGAAGGGAGCCUUCACAAAGGUGGUUAGGAGAAGUCUCAGCAGUACGGCAGAGCCCUAGAAAAGAAAAGGCAUCCGAAGGCCAUUCUUUGGAGCUCAGUACUGGGCAAAACCCCAGAGAAGAAGAGCACUAGAGGUUGAAUUUCAAUGUUGAGCUUCUUCAUAUACCCCACGCAAGACUGGAAGACAAUAAAAAAUGCCUUUGAACAAACCCAUAACCUCUGAUGAUCAAGUAAAGAAUUUGACUCAGAUCCUGCAGUGCCGUCAAGCUUUCGUCUUCAUGUAGUCAGGCAAUAGUCAUGUGGAGUCGUUAAACGAUUUAUUUCUCAUGUUUGAGCCCUUCUAAUAUCCUGUUUAGACUUAAUCACUUAAUGCUGCCAUGAUUCAACUGGAAGGUUUGAGCAACAGCGUUGGGCCAUAUUAGACACGACCUGCACACUGAACAUUGAGAGACAGAGAAUCCUUAAUAGCCACUCCUCAAACCGUUUGGAAAAUAGUCUGUUAUCUUUGGGAGUGAGAAAGGUUCUUGGCACAACCUGCAGCGGUCAUAUAACUUUCUUCAUCACGGAGUCCCUUCAAAACAAAGUAAGAGUACCCAGUGAAGGGUGUAAAGAAAGUGUUAAAUUCGGCACCAUCCCUCAGAUUUCGAGAGCCCCUUUUCAGUAAACAUAUGUUCGACAAAUCCUCCAAUUAAAUUAGCUAGGGUACACACGAUAAUUGCGCGAGAAACAAAAUUUAGACAAACAUACCUUGAGUCCAACUCUACCUCUAACUAUUACCAGGCCACAUCGGUUAUAAGAACCAGCACCACUGUCUUAUAUACUGGAAAGACUCCCUAUGUGUGGUCAACCUCCGUACCUCUGUGGCAAGGCAUAACUGGUAAACGCAUGGUAUGCCACCCUAUUACUCACAAUCCGGAAAACAUCCCCAACAUGAAUUUACUUGUCAAAUCGAAGGGGCAGCCCUUCUCUGACACAUCUCGAGAGCUACGUCCAGCCAGGAUUGCUUUCCUCAAAAUCGAAGAGGCACCCGCUCUCUCGAAUUUCGAGAGCUAGACUCCCACCAGGAUUGCUUUCUCAAAAACGAAGAGGCACCUCUUCGAUAUUUUCAAAGCCAGACUCCCACUAAUUGCUUUUUCAAACAAACAAUCUUAAAAGAAACCAGCUCUGUACAUUUUUUCUUUUGAAUAAAUCAAAAAGACUUCCAACAUGAUUGUUCUUAUAAAUCGAAGAGGCACUGCUCUCCGAAUCUUGAAAAAGCCACUCCAACAUAAUUGCUUCUAAAAAUUCAAGAGCACCACUCUCCGAAUCUCGAAAGCCAGAUCCUCACACCGAUUCUUCUCAAAAAUUGAAGAGGCACCAUUAUCUGAAUCUCGAAGCCAGAUCCAAUAGGAUUGCUUUCUAAAAAAAUUGAAGAAAACCGUUCCUCAAUCUCGAGAGCCAGAUCCCACAUGAUGGUAUUGUUAAAAAAUCGCAAGAGGCACCGCUUUCUGAACUUCGAGAGUUAGAUCCCCAACAUGAUAAAGCUUGUCUAUAAUUUUCCCACGCAACAUCGGCUUUCUAGAUACCAUAGACCACUUUUUCAAAAGUGCUUGACAGAGUUAAAACAUGUGAAUCUUGCAGCUCCCUCUAUAUUGCUUGACCGAGAAGAGUAAAGAACAACGUUAACUACUCGGAAAAUUUUCUAAUAUAUGUCGACCUCAAUCCUCACAGCCAAGAAACCCGCAAUAAAAAAAAGCCAAAUCCACAUCUGAGAAGGCUCUCAACAGAGUCUCUCGAAUACUCAGCUUCUUUUCCUCCCCGAUAAUCCUCUGCAAACAAGCCACACCAGAACAAAGUAAUCUCAUAUCAUCAUCGUUAAAAGCAAGAGUAUCCCAUAUCAUGUUUUUCCCUGUUUUUCCUUUUCCUUUGCUUUAUUGCAAAAGAACAAAGGGAGAAGAGAGAGCAAUCCAGUCAGCGCCUGGCUCGUUUCCAGUCAGACUGACUGCUGAAACUUCUUCUUGUUAUUAAACCCGGCAUUGCUUUGAGUACUCAUCUUCAACAUCUUAUGCUUCCAGAAAAGAUACCACAUCUACUUGAGAAACAAAUUGGGCAAGUGAGAAUGAUACAAGGAAGCAUGUGAAGACAAGCGCAACAGAACACGUGCCGAUUCAUCUAUUACUUUGUCAACAGCAAAAGUGCCCUAUCUCAAGGUCAACGCACUUUUGAUUUGAUGGCUUGUUUGACCUCAAAUUCUUGAGUCGGCCUUAUACUCUGAAGGAAACCAGAAAACCCUCCAGCCCAGUUUAAGAAUAAGCAUGUGGAAAGUUACUUCUUUAAAAGAAAAAGUAUCUCAUAUCAGCUCUUCUCUUUUUUCUUCUCUUUAUUCUUCUUGCUGCCUGCAAGAUAGGGAGAAUAAGAACAAUUAGUCGGAACUUGAAAUUAAACUUCUGAUCUAGGACUGAUUGCUGGGAGCUUUGAUUGCUUACCUUGUAUGUCACCUCUUUCGGCAGAUCUCAUAGCUCGGCGACUUGGGGGACUCCUACUACAUGGUUUGUAUCGCGCUUGACUAAGCCUAAAACUACAAGUAAGCUUCAAGUGAAAUUGAUACAUUACCUUGUGCAUCUCCACCGGUUAAAGAUACCACCCCUGGAUAGAGGAAAAAAAUACUUCCAAAGAAGAUGCCACAUCUACCUAUGAGACAGAUAAGGCAAGUGAAAACGAUACCACACUUCGGUACUUAAAAGUUUCAUGAUUAUUCAGCGGCUUGGAUUUUGCAAGUCCCCAACCGAUGAGCUUUCCUCACUCGGGAACUUAGGGGAGCACUGUUUAUACCAUACUUAACCAAUCCCAAAACUACUGAGCACCUGUCAACGUUAUACCGUCAAGGACCCAGAAGAGUUUCCCUCCAACUAGAAAGGCAAUCACAGUGCGACACGUGUCGACAUCAGAAGCCAAUCAUAGCGCGACACGUGUCAACAUCAGAAGUCAAUCACAACACGACACGUGUCAAUGUCAGAAUAAAGCUAGAAAUUCUCUUCUAUAAAAGGAGAUCAUUCUCCCACAAUAUUUUCUAAUGUCAUUUGUACCAAAUCAUUCACUAGUACUCACUAAAGGAGAGCUUGAACCUAUGUACUUGUGUAAACCCUUCACAAUUAAUGAGAACUCCUCUACUCCGUGGACGUAGCCAAUCUAGGUGAACCACAUACAUCUUGUGUUUGUUUCCCUGUCUCUAUCCAUUUACAUACUUAUCCACACUAGUGACCGGAGCAAUCUAGCGAAUUUCACUAACUUGACACUUUCUGUUGUACCAAAGUCCUCACUGAUUUUGUGCAUCAACAAUGUAUAUUAUUAAUGAGAAUUGUUAUUGGUACCCUAAAAUUUCAUUCUACACUCCAAACUUUCUAUAUUUAGAAAGAAAAAUACAUUUGUGAAGAGUAUAGAAUGAGAUUUUUGGAGUGCCAAUAACACUUCCCUUAUUAAUUCUCUUCUUACUAAACUGUAAACCACGUUGAUGUUGACAAUAAAAUGAAUAACUCAACUCUUUAUAGUCCUUUCAAAGUUGAUUGAUUUUCCGACAUCUAAUAAAAUUUUCACAUCUUCAUAAUCAAGAAUUUCUACAAGUUAUCGACGUUAGUGAAAUACACAACGCAAAAACUUGCGGAUGCAGUAUUGCUAAAAUUCCUUCCAACGGGUUUCUCCAAACGACCAAAUUUGAUGUUCUUGUAAGAAUUAUUGUGAGCAUCUAUAACUUUGUCAAUUAAUUACAUCACUUGAUUCGAGUGAUCUUGCAGCCCUAAUAUGGUUAGAAUAAUAGAGUAUUAACUCUGAUUAACCAAUUACGUAGUCCAUAUUUGGUAAGACUUAAUAUGGCGGGAUAUAAAAUAUAUAAUUGUGAUUAUGGUAUUUCUUAUUUAAUAAUAGGCUUAAUUGAGAGAUAUCUUAGCAACUAUAUAAGGAUUGUCCUUGCUCUCACAAUAAUCUAUUAUGUGUAAAACCCUAUUUAUAGCAAGAACAUAUAGUUUGGAGAGAGUAGAAGACAUUCGUAGGCAUACGCCAAUUCCUUUGUCAUCUAGAAGAGCCAUGUCUUCCGUAUUCUACAUAUAAGUUCAAUAUAAUUAAUUCAUCUAUAUUUUAUAUUGAUUCAAUUCAUUAUAUUCGUGAUUCUAAUGUCUUGUUGUUGUCAUUUCAGAAUAUGUCUUACAGCUCUUAGAUAUGUUUGGGUCAUGGUUUAUUUUCGUUCUGUUAAAGUUUAGGCAUAUAUGAUCAACAAAGCUUAGUCAAGUAUUAAAUUAAACUAUACAUGUACAUAGUUCAAGUUUUAGGUUUCGAGGGCAAGCUCGAGUCCGAGUUUGAGACUUGAGGCUUGGGUCCGAAAAUUGGGGCAUGGCUCCGUCCUCUUGCACUUUCAACCUCGGACUAGUCCUCCCACUAUGCGUUCAUUCAUCUUCUUAAGAAAACAUCUUUUCUGUAAGAAUUACUGAAUUGCUAUCUACGAGGUGUCAAACCUUCUCAUUGAUGAGAGCUCUUGGGGAAGAUCAGUCUGUUAUCCUUAGAGUAACUUUUAUUUGUUGAGUGACGCCCCUUCCACUCGGCACCGCCGGAUCACUAAGGCCAACCUUCGUCCCUCUCGAAUAGUGGGUCUUGCAGUCAAGCUCUCUUUUACCUUUGCACUCAAGGGCCAAUCUUUGGUUUAGACUAUUAGACGACUAAGACUGUUUGUACCAUACUUAAGGCCUCCGUAUUUAGACCUCGUAUAAAUACUCGAGGGACUUAAAUGUAAUUAUGUAAUAAAUGAAGGGGCAAAUAUGUAAUAAGUGAGGAGCCCUUAUUCUAUAAAAGGACUCAUCAUUUUCCUCAUUGAGGGAGGCCAAUUCUUAGGCCCUGGGGAAAGAAGCCCCACUCUCACAUUAUAAAGGCUCUCUCCAUCUUCAACAUCUCAGAGAAAUACAAUAUCAUUGUGGAUGUAGCCUAAACAUUGGGGGUGAACCACGAUACAUCUUGUGUUAUUUACUUUCUUGCAUAUUCACGGUCGGAUUUACGUUGUUCCAAGACCCCUCCAGUUUUGUGCAUCAACAUUUGGCGCCGUCUGUAGGAAUCGACACAAAAAACUAUGUCGGUUCUCUCUUAAUUUUUCAUUUCACCACCGUGAGACCUCACCAUACUCCACCGAGAAUAUGCAGAAACCCAGAACCUCCCUCCUUGGGCUUUUCCAGAAAACCCCCAUAAAGACAAAGCCGUUUGUCCCUCCCUUUUACUUUCUCUUUCUAAAAACUCCAAAUUUAGAAAAGCUCUCUCUUUAAACUAAGCUUUCUCUCUCUAGAAUAUGCAGCAAUGAUAAAUAGUAUGCUAAGGCUCUCUCUCCUCUGACCCCAAGCUUCUCUUCAGCUACACCACUAACUCCUCCAAUGUUGACCGCUUGGGCUUCAACUGCGAACCGCCAUUCACCUGCCUCAUGCACCACAGAUUCAUCACCGCCAAUCCCACCGGUGUCCAGCACAUCCUGAAGACCAACUUCCCCAACUACCAAAAAGGACAAAGAGCACCUGGAUUCGAACUGACCUCUUCAGCGACGGCAUUUUCAACACCGAUGGAGAUGACUGGAAAUUCCAGCGCCAAGUCUCCAACCACGAGUUCAACACCAAGUCUCUGCGUAAAUUUGUCGAACAAGUGGUCGACACUGAGCUUUCCGACCGCCUUAUUACAAUUCUCUCCGUCGCCCUCGAGCCUCCAAACCUACCACCUUCUCAAUCUGCUUCUCGAACACAACACGGUCGUGACUUUUGUGUUCGUAAACUCAGACCCAAAACUGGAGAACCACGAACUCAGUCGCGCCUGGAAUUUCCGACGAGUUUUCCAUCGUUGUCCCAAUCAAUAGCAAAAGAAAAGUCCACUGCAGGACUCCGACGAGUUGCAGAGAGAAACACCACCGAAGACUACGCCAACGGCUUAUCGUCUUACUACGAGGGGGUCUUUCUCGCUCAGGGCAAGACCAUGAGCGUUUAUUUCGGGUCAAACAAUUACACCGACCCGACCCGACUUCUCCGUUCCCUUCGACACUCGAUGCUACAUAUGAUACUGGAGAACGAGAUAUACUCUAAAGACGAUCUUCGGGAGCUUCUUAACUGUUUUUUGCAGCUCAACUUUCCCUACAACCACGACAUUAUCAUCAGGGUUUUCACUGAGAUCUGGAUUGUUGUUUUCUCUGUCAGGUUUGGAGGUUCGACGUUGCUGCACUUUGCGAGCAACAAGUCAUGUGAGUACGAGCUAAAGCUGUAUCUUGUGCAUGUGCAACGGAGUUGGGAGACUGAGUUUCCAUUUACAUGUCGAGUUAAGCAGAAAGACAAUGGGAUUAAAUCAAGUUACUUUGCCGUCUGUGGCCACGUCAUCGACUCUGGGCUUGUUCAAGCCGUUCAGCCUGAGAUCCAUGGACGAAAUGACUUCGUGCUCGACCGUGGAUGGCGGUCUUGUGAUGAACAACCCGACGGUGGCGGUUGUUACGCACGUGCUCAACAACAAGCAUGACUUCCCCUCCGUCAACGGCAGAAUAUUGGGACAAUAAGCAAUAAUUCAGAGAGCUCAAUGACCCAUCCCCUGCAUUUUCUUUACAGGGUGGUAGCCAUGUGAAAUAUUUUCUGAGAAAGCAAAAGAUGGCCUUGGGUGGAUAGAGAAGGAGUGGGGAGAUCAAGAAAAGCAAAAGAUAAGCUUCCUAUUAUUGUUAUUCUAUCAUGAUUCCUUUUGUUUGCCAGGUGAAGAGACAGAGAGAGUGCGGUGGAAAAGCAAAAGCAAAGCAGAAAAACAAAAGCAAAGCAAAAAAACAAAAGCAAAAGCAGAAAGCAAAAGAAAAUAAAAAAAAACAAACAUAAUUGCGGUGGUGAUGGCAUUAUGGGCGUGACCCAUUGAGCAUAGGGUCGGAUUUAUUUCUGAAUGAUGUAAUUUAUUUUUCUUAUCUUUCGAAGACAUCUGUAUAACCCCAUCAGAGGGUAAUAAAAAAAAAAAGGGCAAGCCCAGUAAUAGGUUGGAGUGUUAUGUGGAGGGCGAAGGCCUAUAUGGCCAAAAAAGUCAGGCUCGUUAUUAUCACCAACCAGGUGAUCAAAAGUACGCCCAGUACUCCAAAAUUAUUCGGCAACCUGCCACUCUUAUCACUAACUAGGUGAUCAAAAGUACGCCCAGUACUCCAAAAUUAUUCUGCAACCUGCCGCUAUUAUCACCAACCAGGUGAUCAAAAGUACGCUCAAUACUCCAAAAUUAUUCGGCAGCCUACCGCUAUUAUCACCAACCAGGUGAUCAAAAGUACGCCCAGUACUCCAAAAUUAUUUAGCAGCUUCCGCUAUUAUCACCCACUAGGUGAUCAAAAGUACGUCCCGUACUCCAAAAUUAUACAUGAGCAUCACUCAUGUCAUUCAUACAUAAACAUUCAUGAUCAUCACUCAUGACAAUCAUACAUAAACAUUCAUGACCAUCAUUCAUGUCAACAUUCAUGAGCAUCACUCAUGUUCACAUCCAUGAGCAUCACUCAAUCAAUAUAAACAUUCAUGAUCAUCACUCAUAUCAAUCAGUUUCGAAAGCUUCAUUUACAGAGCUUCAGCUUCAAGAGCUCAAACUUCAAAAACUUUAUUUACAAAGCUCCAGCUUCAAAAGCUUCACUUGCAAAGCUUCAUCUAUAGAGCUUCAGUGUAGGGUAUACAAAUACCGCAUCCGAACAACCACCACUUCGGCUCAUACAUGGAUUCAAUUUGAAGUCUCCAGCCAACAUACUCUAUUGACUGAAGACUUGGGGGACUACAUUAUGUACCAUAUAUUGGGCUUCAACUGGGCCUCAUGAAAAAUACUUGGGGGACUUAGCCCAUUAUUUAUGUACUGAGGAACAAUCCCUUUUUCUAUAAAAGGGACUCCCUCACUUUCAUUAGAGAGCACCCAUUAUUCAUGUGCUGAGGAGCGAGCCCUUAUUUUAUAAAAAGGACUCCCUCACCUUUAUUAGAGAGCAUCGUCGCCAGCUAACCAACCGUCUCGCCGCGAAUAUCACUCCUAACCCAUCACUUAUGUAUUGAGGAGCGAGCCCUUAUUCUAUAAAAGGGACUCCCUCACCAUCAUUAGAGAGCAUCGUCGUCUACUAAGCAACCGCCUCGCCGCGAGCAUCACUCCUAACCCAUCACUUAUGUAUUGAGGAGUGGGCCCUUAUUCUAUAAAAGGGACUCCCUCGCCUUCAUUAGAGAGCAUCGCCGCCUACUGAGCAACUGUCUCGCCGCGAGCAUCAACUCUAGCCCAUCAUUUAUGUAUUGAGAAGCGAGCCCUUAUUCUAUAAAAGGGACUCCCUUACCUUCAACGCCACAAGCCGAGCCAACCAAGGCAACAUAAGCCACAAGCCGAGCAGCCUUGCAACAUACGCUAUUUCUAGUUGAGCAUCAUUUCAGAUUGAGCACCGCCUCAUAUCGAGUAUCAGUCCUAGACGACAUCUAGUUACUUCAGCCCACACAUGGAUUGAAUUUCAAGUCUCCAGCUAAAAGACUAUCUUGACUGAAGACUUGGGGGACUACUGUUUGUACCAUACUUAGGGCCUCCGUAUUUAAAGCUCGUAUAAAUACUCGGGGGACUCAAAUGUAAUUAUGUAAUAAAUGAAGGGGAAAAUAUGUAAUAAGUGAGAAGCUCUUAUUCUAUAAAAAGACUCCUCACUCUCCUUAUUGAGGGAGACUAAUUCUUAGGCCCUGGGAGAGAACCCUCACUCUCACAUUACAGAGGCUCUCUCCCUCUUCAACAUCUCAGAGAAAUACAAUAUCAGUGUGGACGUAGCCCAAACAUUGGGUAAACCACGAUACAUCUUGUGUUAUUUACUUUCUUGCAGAUUCACGGUCGGAUUUACGUUGUUCCAAGACUCCUCCGGUUUUGUGCAUCAACAAAGACCAUCUCCAAAAGAGAUUUCAAAUUUUAAACAUAAAAUUUAAAUUUGAAGGCUUAUGUGGGACAUAUAAAAAGCAUUUAUUAAACUUCCUCUGCUGCAAUUUCAUGUCAUGCCAUAUAGGAAUUGGCAUUUCGGUUGGAAAACACGAGUGAUGUCUUUUUUUACUGUUAUUGGUAAUGUAGACUUUUUGACAUCUCUUUUGGACAUGCUCUAAGGUAAGCAUAACAAAAUAUAUGGCAAUCAAUAACUAUUAUACCUCACUUCGCUGUGCGAUACCUUUUUUCUUUGACAUGAUUAAAAGUUCUAAGAAAAUUUUAACAAGUCCGCACUUAUCUACCCCCAUGAUUUUGCUACCAAUUCUUUCAAACUAUUGAUUUUGUUUCCAAUUUGCAAUUGGCUUAGACGUGGGCUGAAAAAUCUGGCCCGAACAAAGUGGAGGUUCUACAGGAUAAAUGGGUUUGGUCAUGGUUUUCCACCGACUACAAGAAUACAUAGUUUCCAAAGGCCCAACUUCGAUUUUGUCAUUGGGUUUGCUCUUUCAGUUAAAGGCUAGAGAGACUUAGGUAUUGUUUAGUAUGCAGACAAGACGGGACGGGACGGGACAUAAUGGAAAGGGAGCAAAGAUGCCCUCGGAUGGAAACAAGGAGGAAGAAGAAGGAGACAGAGAGGUUAUAAUUUUGUGUUCCACAGAUGUGGAAUGAGUCGUUCCAGGGGGGUGAGGCGGAGCGAAAAUUCAUCCAAAAUUCGUCUAGUGGAACAACGCGUUCCACCCGUUUUAGGCGCACCAAACGUGAGACGGAACGCCUCGUUCCACUUCGUUUCGUCCCGUCCCACGUACCAAAUGGUGCCUUAAAGAACGAAUUUAACCAUUAACUGUUGCAUAAUUCACAAAAUAUUGUUAAAACCUAUAAUCGAAAGAGAAGAAAAGAGAGAGAAGUAAAGAGAAAAGAGGAAGAAGAUAAAACUAAAACAUUCAAUAUUUUGAUUCAUAUUUUCAAAUGAGAAGGAAGAGACCUCAGUAACUAAAUCCUAAAAUAUCUAAAUGGGUUUAUUAUACUUUUUAGUACAUUGAUAUAUAUUUUACACUAAGAGAAGAGAGGAGUUCGACAACCAUGCAAUAGGCAAUAUAAUUUAGUAUUGAAUUUGCUAUUUACGAGAUUCGAACUUAAGACCUCUUACUUACAAAUGAAGAGAAAUACAACUAAACCAUAGUACUAAAUUGCUAAACUUAUCAUACUUAAAUAGGCCAAACCUAAUAUGAUAUCAUAUAAAUAUGGUCUAAAAAUAUAAUUUGCCUAACAUUUUUUCGUGAUAAAUAACUUAUCUCCAAACCCAAAAGCUAGAACUUAGCUGACACGUCGUCAAACAACGACCACAGUUUCUAAAGUGGUGUUUACAGGUAUAUCCACAGUCUGUGUGCCACCACGUUCGCCCCCAGUCAAUAAUCCCCUACACGAACCUAUCCUAUCCAAACCCAUUAAUUUUCAAAUUUUUACCCAAAAUACCCUCCAAAAUCCAAAUCAUCCCCCUACUUAACCAAAUAUCUCAGUCUUCUCCUUGUAAAAUCACAUUGUGUUCCCGCCAUCCAUUUGGACUCUGUAACAUUGAAUUCAUCAUCCCAACUUCAAAGUUUAGAAGAUAAAUGUCAAUAAGGUUGCCUGAUUAGAGAAUCUAAAAUUGAUUCCCUAACUCACAAAUUUAAGAGAGAAACUUCGAUACAAAUUUCAAAUUAGGGCACGUCUCACUAAUCCAGCGAAACUAGUGGAUUAAGGUAAGGUUAACAUGCUAUUCUUUUUUUAAAAAGAGAUCAGUUGGUGAUUUCGGCGUGAUAGUCUACUUUUCUGGAGACCGGAAAGACUCACAAAGGUAUUUCAGUCUUUCUCAGCUGCCAUCAUGUGAUUCACCAGCCAUAAAACGAACCUAGAACAUGAGGUGUGAAAUACUGGUCUCAAGGUUCUAAAAGACGCUAGACGCUAGUCGGGCAGAGAGCUGGGGUCCUAGGCAGACUAGGCAGAUUUAAGUAAAUAUAUUAUAUUUUGUGUAAAUAAGUGUCUGUUUAUACUUAAAAUAUAUAUAAUUUCAUUAUAAACUACAAAAUAGAAUGACACACACACACACACAUAUAUAUAUAUAUAUAUGAAGAGGUAUUUGAACAUAAUGAAAACAUUGGGAACAUGCAUAUAAUGUGUAUUCAUUUAAGUAUUCAAUAAGUCUCUUACAAUUUAUUGGAAAAAAAAAUGCAAAAGGAAAGAUAUCUAUUUUCUGUCUAAGUAAGUCGCAACCUAUGUGGGUCUGGUCGGGCAAGGCGGGUGCCUAGGCGGUCUAGGCAAGUGCCUCAGCAGGUAUAUGAGCCUUUUCUUAAAUUUCAAACGUCUAAGCAUUAAUCGGGGUGGUGGCCAACCACCUGGGGUCUAGGCGGGGAUUUUUAGAACAGUGACUAGUCUACAAACGUUAUUGAAACUAAAUAUUAAUUACAUAAAAAAAUACACAUGUAUGCAAUUAUCACAAUUUUUUUAUAGGUUUUUAUCACAAAUAGUCUCUAAAAUUGACCCUCACCAUCAAGAUUGUCCUUGAAAUUGAAAAUAAAACAACGUAAUCCCUGAAAAAUAAGUGUCGCAAAUCAAUGUGGUGCUUCCGUUACAAUUCUGUUAAAAAUUCUAUUAAGUGUUGAAAGUGGCAUGGGCCCCAUAAUUCCUUUUUAUUUUCUCACAAGUGGUCCUUGAAAUUGACCCGGGAUAUCAAAAUGGUUCUUGAAAUUGACUCGCAACAUCAAAAUGGUCCCUAAAAUUGCAAAUUACUCAAUGUAGUCCCACAAGUAAGUGUCUCAAAUUAAUGUAAUCCUUUUGUUACAAUUAUAUCAAAAAUUCUGUUAUGUGCUUAUGUGACACAUAAAUGGGUCACACAAGUCUAAUUAAAUAAAAAAAAUUACAAAUAGGCUUUAAUAAUUUAAUAGUUAAUAAAAAAAAUUGUCAACCCAAAAAUCUAGUCUUGCAAUCACCUUCGAUCCUUGUCCACAUUUCUCUAUCUCCUUUGCUCUCUAUUCUCUAAAAAAAAAAAAAAAAAAAAAAAAAAUUCUCAUUACACAUAUUGUUACACACUUCGGCACUCUUCACCGAAUUGAACUUGGAUCGAGAUCACCUUUGGUGACGACUUGGCCGAUUGGCAAUGACUUUUGGGACAUUACCGUUAACAUUUAGGCGAUCAAUAUCCUCACAAUCUUAAUCUUGGAGAGAUUGUUCAACGCUUUCCUGGUGGUCUGGUGAUGCAAAGAACGACAAUGUCUACCUUGAGAUAAUGAGGUUAUAACUGAGGUGCGUCUAUUGUUGGUUGAAAACUAUUUCCACAACCCCUCUUAGGCCUUGGUUAAGCUUUGUGCCUUUGAGAAUUUAUGGAAGAGAUCUCUCAUUGGUGUAGGCUUUAUUAUAAGAAAAAAAAAAAAAUUCUAUUUUGCAAAAAAGUAUUUAGACAACUCUUUUAAUUAAUUAUUAAACCCACAUUAGCACAUAACAAAUUUUUUUACAGAAUUGUGGCGGAAGGAUCAUAUUGAUUUGCGAUACCUAUUUUCAAGGACUACAUUAAUCGAUUUUCAAUUUCAAACACCAUCUUGAUAGUGUGGUCAAUUUCAAGGACCAUGUUCAAGAUGGUGAGGUCAAUUUCAGGGACCAUUUUGAUGAUGUGGGUCAAUUUCAUGGACCAUUUGUGGUAAAAACCCGUAAAUCUUGUGGAGCCUAUUUAUCUGCCACAUCAGCACUUAACAGAAUUUUUAACAGAAUUGUGAUGGAAAGAUCACAUUGAUUUGAGACACCUAUUUUUAGACAAUACAUUGAUUGAUUUUUAAUUUCAGGAACUAUCUUGAUGGUGAGAGUCAAUUUCAAAAAUAAUUUGUGAUAAAAAUCUUUAUUUUUUUAUUUUUUAUUUUAUUUAAAUUUUUUAACUUAUUUAUUUUUUUAUAUCAAGAGGUGCAAUUAUCACCGGGAAACGCUGCCGUGUCGCCUCGUCAUCGGUUUCGUCACUCCAACAAGAAAGAUAUCAGAAACUGAAACGCACCUCAUUUUCUCAUCAGGCGCUCACCGCAGCAUCUUUGCCUUUUACUUGAGAGCUCUCUGCAAAGCCAAAUUGCAAGGCCUUCCCCUUCGGCCUUCCUCUCUCUCCUCGCCAUUUUUCAGUUCGCUUCAAGCUUCAAUUUUCUCUUCUGGGUAACCUUGUUUUCAGCUUAUGGACGGCGGAUUCGAGCCCCAGGUUUCCAUUGACGACGACCAUUCUCACCAGAAAGUCAACUCUCUCACCGAGAUGGUAUCUGGGAAUUUCGGGUAUCUCUCAUUAAGAUUCAAUUUAAUUUAAUUUUUUAUUUAUUUUUGAGCUGAAUUUUUGUGAUUAAUUGUUGUUGGUAUGAUGUAUUUUUGAAGGUGCGCGCAUUACAGACGGAGGUGUAAGAUCAGAGCACCCUGCUGUGAUCAGAUAUUCGAUUGCAGGCAUUGCCAUAACGAAGCUAAGGUCUGUUUUUUUUUUUUUUUUUUGGUUUUCGAGUUUUUAUUGAUUUCGUGAUCGUUGUGAAAUUCGGCCUCUUAUGAUUGUGGUAAUAUGUUUAUUUGGAGCAGAAUUCAUUGGAAGUUGAUCCUCUUGAUCGCCAUGACGUUCCUCGCCACGAUGUGAAAAGGGUCAGUUGCUUUUAGACCCCCUCAUUAAUCACAUCAAUGUCGAGUUUGAUACCAAUUUAUUCCCUCAUCUUGGUGUAAAUUUAUCUUUAUAUAGAAAAAAAAUAGUUAAGAAGAAAAGGAAUUUGGAAAUUGGAAUAGAAUUAGAAACUAUUGUUGGGCAUUUUUCUCCAUGGAGAUCUGAUUUUAUCUGGGUUUUGCUGGAUGUGAAUUUGCUUUCCAUUUAUGUUUGCUAAUCACGUGUAGCGUUAAAAGGGUUAACAUUAGAAGAUCUAAACUUGAUGGAUAGGGUGUAUAUUAUGCCUCUUUCCUGUUAUUCCCCUCGGCCCUCGUCAUACCAUUUUCUUUUGAAGUUGUUAAUCAUUGGGAAAUGUUACUGAUCCAGUUUUACUUUGGUUGCCUUGCCUUGUAUCUUUCAGAUCAUCUGCUCCUUGUGCAACAAAGAACAAGAUGUAAGCCUUGUUUUUAGAAAAUUCCGAUAAUGAUAAUUGUAUUUCGAAAUCUAAGGAUUGAGGUUAAUGGAUUCUCAAGCUCUGAUAUCUUUUUCAGGUUCAACAGCUCUGUAUCCAAUGUGGGGUUUGCAUGGGAAACUAUUUUUGCUCCAAAUGCAAGUUCUUUGACGAUGACGUAAGCCCUGAAUUCUAAUCUGCUGAAAAAAAGAGAGAUUCUUUAGUUCAUAUUCUCAUAAUUAUAAACCCUGUUUUGAAAACACUUGCAUCAUCGAAAAAUCCAAGUUUUUAUUUUUGCUAGGUUUCGAAGAAACAGUAUCAUUGUGAUGAAUGCGGUAUCUGCAGGUUGGACUUUUUUCUACACUUUUGUGUUUGAUUUUGUCGUUUGUUUUCUUGUUGCUAUGUUCUUAAAUUGUUAUGAAUACGUUUUACCUUUCAUUAUCUUCUGUCCAGAAAAGUUUCUUCAUCGAUAAGUCUUUGCACGUGUCUAAGUCUGUUUGAAUUGUUUUUACAGAACUGGAGGUGGGGAGAAUUUUUUCCACUGUAACAAAUGUGGUAAGAUGUUAACCUUUGGUUUUUAAUUUUUACAUUCUUUAAUCAUACUUCUAUAGAUAGUCUAAUUUAGAUAUCUCUAUCUAUAUUUUAGGAUGUUGUUACUCAAAUGCGUUGAAGGAUUCACACAAUUGUGUGGAAAAAGCAAUGCAUCAUAAUUGCCCUGUGUGCUUUGAGGUAAAGUUUGGAGGAUACCAUGUCCAAGUAUUAAGGGAAAUUUGGAAAGUUAACAUUCUUUCUAACAAACUAAUGACUUUUAGCCUCUUUUUCAAGAUUUGGAUAUAUAUCGAGGCUCCCUCGAGUGGUUAAAAUUCUAAUAGUUAAAAAAAUGGACUGAAAGUUUUGAACAAAUUUAAAAAUUACAAGUAUUAUAUACUGAGUUUUCUGCGUUGUAGUGCGCCAACUCACAUCAGUAUUUGUGCAGUUUCUUUUCGAUACAAGGGAAGACAUUACUGUCUUGCGAUGUGGACACACUAUACAUUUGGAAUGUGUAAAAGAGAUGCAGCGGCAUUUCCAGUAAUUCAUUUUUGUUUUCAAGAUAUUUAUAUAUGCUGAUAAUCUGAUAUAGGUUGUUACAAAUGGUAAAGAAACUGUAGCCAUAUUAAAUGUAUAGAACUGUGCAGGUAUUCGUGCCCAGUUUGCUCAAAAUCAUUCCGCGAUAUGUCCCGUGUGUGGGAAAAACUUGAUGAGGAGGUAAAUCUAGGAUUCGAUGAUUCAAUUUAAUGAGUGGUAUGACUACCUCUUAGUUACCUGUCUUUCUUGUUUACCGAUCUCUUUCAAAUCAAUUUUCAGGUUGCGGGGACUCUCAUGCCUCUAAAGUAUCUAAAUAAGAUGGUAUGUAUACCCAGAUGAUCACUUUCUGUGGCUUCUGCAACUAUUAGGUAAUUAAAUUUUGCACUUUUGGUUAGGUUUGGAUCCUCUGCAACGACUGUGGAGAAAUAUCUGAGGUCAAUUUUCACAUUGUGGGACACAAGUGCCUCAAGUGCAAAUCCUACAAUACAAGGAGAACACGAGGAGGGCCAGCAUCAUGCUCGUCAAGGAUUACUGCAACGAUGAGGUGACUAACCUCUAGAUCAAAACUUAUGAUGUAUUACUUCCCAAAUUAUAUAAAAAAAGUCAGCGUUUAGUUGUGACGGGGGGAAAAUUGGUAUUGCCAGUCCCUCUGUUACCAAUCCCUCUGUUCUUAGGCCAGUAAGUUUCUCCAUAGGUUUAGUCGCAGGAAAUUUGGUCAUAUUUGAGACAAUUUUCGUAUGCUAAUGGGUAGGGAAAAGCAUUUUGCAUUUGAAAUGGGAAUCCAUUGUAUGAGGCUUCAUCAAUGGAAAGUGCUACAACGUUUCAGUAACUAUCAUGAAAUAAAUAUGUAAUACAGUUACAAAUAGGUAUGCAACUUCUGAAGUACAUAUAGAUUUAUUGAAGAGAGAAACUGAAAGCAAACGUAGACCUUCUGAGAUAGACUUGAACACACAGUUUCUGUAGUACAUAUAAAAUUUGCCAAGAUGUUAGUUAUGAAUGUCUCACUUGCUGAACGAUGAGCCGUGGAGCUUGACCUCCCGGUCAUUUAGAGGUUGUACUGGUCUUGAAUUCAUCUCUGCAUACUGCAUUCAGACAAAUCAAGAGGAGUUAGUAGGUGUGGCUGGUUAUUUGGAAGAAUCACUUCACGAAGACAUGCACGCUACUCACCUUGUAAACGGCUUUUUGAAGCAACGCCACCUGUGAUCGUGAAACUGUAUGAACCUGCGAACACUUUGUAAUCAGCUUGGUUCUCGUUUUCGGGUACCAAAAUGUGAAUUCGCAAGAGUUGGGAAAAUUUUUCAGGGCAGAUGAAGUGGCUGUACCUGUUUGUUUAUGGUCCAAGUAACUCCUUCGGUGCAAGGAGGGGUUGUGAACGAUCCCAUGUAUCUGUAAAAUUUUGAGCUCAUCCUCUUCAUCUUCCUCUUUGCCGCAUCCUGCUUCCCCUUCUGAGCCUUUUUCAUCUUCCUCGGAUCGACCACUCCCAAGUGGACCUCCGUUGGCUUUUUAAUCAUAGACCGUAUCGCCUUUCUCACCUGAAAAGUAGGAACACCACCAUUGAUCUUCCUAUAUUCGCCUUUUCUAGCUUUUACUGAAACGAGUUUUUACAGCGUAAUGAUGGGAGUUUUAACCUGUGUGAUGAAAGGAUUGGGUUUGCCGAUUUUGUAGAGGAAUCCAACCACAGCUACACGAGUGUUGCUCGUGUCUUUGUGAACCAUGUGCAGUUCCACAUCAUAGGUUUUGCCAUCGAUGGUGUGCUCGGAGGGCGCGUGCCAAUGGCAUUGCCGGAGCAAGUAUUCUGUGCCGUUGAUCGUGACUCCUCCGGCAUCACCCUCCCACACAACCUGCUUUGUCAAAAUUACAACAAAAGCAGUAAAAACUCAUGCCGUGGACGGUGAAUAAAACAAGAAAACAGAAACGGGAUUUCACACUUUCUUACCGAAAUAGCAUGACCUUCGUUCUUCAUCAAGGCUUGGGUAGGCUUGUAAUGGAUUUUAAGAUGAUCCAAAGUUGAGUUAACUUUGUCUGCAAUGGCAUCCCUCAAAUCUAUAGGUGAUUGUAGUUUUCCAUCCUUACAUGUGCUCCAUUCUUCCUUAAGGUCUCCCCAAUAUUCUGGUCCUCUCUUGUCCCCUUCAGUGUAUACAAAUUCUAUGGGAUCUUCUGCACCAAAAAUCCAAACUCAAUAAGAUUGCGAUGUCCAAACGUGAGUCAGGCUAGUAGGCCAGAGCACUGUGCCCUCCCAAUGCCCGAAUUCCAAUCCCCAUUGAUUCCCAUAAAUUAAAGCAGUUUAGAAUAUUGUUUUCUAAAUGAAUGACGUUUAUGAUGAUGAAUAAGAUGACGACGAUGUCGAAAAAAAAGCAAGCAUAUAGACAUUACCCUCAUUGGAAAAUUUGGAAGCUCUAAUGGGUGAUGCAUCCCAGCACAGAAGAAACAGUGUGAAUGCAAUGAAGCCAAGGUGGAUUUGCUUUGAUCCAAACAUGUUUUGAGAGGCAAUUGUCACAAAUUGCUAUACCCCCAAGAUCUCUUCUCUCCUGGGUUUUAUUUCAAAAUGUGUUGCAAUUGCCAAUAGAUGGAAAACCAAAUCACAAAUUCUCCAUGAUGUGCCAGUCCCUUUUUGUGCUUUUUUAAUUUACUUUUUUUGGAUUUUUGGUGGGUAAAUUUACUUGUUUUGUACCGAAAUUUUGGAAGUUGUAGUAACUAAAUGUGGUUAAUUUACACCCAAUAUAAAUAUAUAUGACUGUUGUAAAACCUCUGGCCAGUAUGUCCCUCUCAUUCUUUUAACUCCUUGAUUUAUGUAAUUAAUCUCUCUGUCUCUAACAAAAUAUUUCUGUCCGCAAAUCAUUCUUGUUAUAAUUAUCUCUAGAUUAAGGGGAAUCUAAGUUUCGUAGACUGAGAAUAAAAAAUAUAGCUACAAAAUUAACUCAGGAAGCAAAAAUACCAUCAACGGUUGUUUUGGUGUGGAGGUACACAUAUUCAUGUCCUUUUUUUGGAUACAACUUAUUCAUGCUUUCGAUUUUUAUGGAUAUGUUUUUAGUAAUGUAUGAGUUUGAGUUCUACUCUUAAUAUGAGUGAGAUCAAACUAUAUAUAUUUGGUGUAUGUGUUUUGGUAAGAGGUGGUUAAAACCUCUUAGGAAACUGGUUACAUCCGACUCCAUGACAGGACGAGUGGUUACCAACAGACCUGAUAUUCGUGUCGUGUUUUUUGUGUUUGUGUUGUUUUAGUGUCAUACUUGAUAUUUUAACGGGUUGUGUCGUGUAAUACCUCUUAAAAUAAACGGAUAAAUGACCCAAGCCAAACUUGAUCCGUUAAUAAGUAAUAUGGCCCGAUCCAAAUCUUGUUAAAGAAAACAUAUUUUAAACCAAUAAAUAAUCAAAUUGUUGUAAACAUUCCUAGUUUAAGUAUGAUUGUGUAAAUCCUAGAUAAGAUUUGAUUCUAGUUAUCCUUUCCUAUUACAACUUGUAUUACUUGGAGGAGAAGGAAUAUCUUCUCUCCCUUUACUACUAUAAAUAAAGGCACAAUGUAGGAGGGAUAACAACACACACACAUUCCCCUACAAUUCUACAAACACACAUCUCUCUCCUCUCUCUCUCUGCCGCCGGCCCUAGUCCCUCUGUCAGAUAAAAUAGACCACAACACGUUAUCAACACGCUCUUCACGCUGUGCUUAGAAGCAUUUAAAGAGAAUUUAUUCGUCUAAAAUCAGGGGAGUAUUACGUUUCAAUUAUUUUUAAUUGAUUAAAUCUUGAUUUUAUUGAAUUCGUAUAUUGUUAUUGAUUCAAUUUAUUUUUCUUCUUAUGUUGAACGUGAUACAAGCUUGAAGAUGAAAGCCGAAAUUGAAGAAAUAAUUUUUCUGCAUCAAACCAGUUCAUCUAUAUCAUCACGCAAUCAGGUUCUUUCUAAACAACGGCUUUUAACUCGAUAUUUUGCAAGCCCUGAUAGCAUGAACAUUCACCAUGAUGCAUGACCCAACUUUACGUUUUACGUAUUUUAGAUUCUACAUAAAUUGUGUAUGCUUCAUAAUCAAAAUUGCUACAAUUAUGUGAAUUUGAUAUUUGUCAUGAAUUGAAUCCUACAUAUGUACAUGCAUUGAAACUAUUAUUUGCAUAUGCAUCAAAGUAAAUAUGUGAUUCAUUGAAUUAUAUAUGCAUCUAAUACAAAAAAAAAAAAAAAAAAAAAAAAUUCUGGGCUCGCAUGGAACGGCCCGAAAAAAAAAAAAAAAAAAAAUAAUUUAGGGCUGCACACAGCAGCCCAUUCCCCUCUUCUCACCCCGUGGGCCUGUAAUCCCACCCGAGGGUUCUUGGCCUAUAUUUUUAGGCCCCGAGAUUUUAUUAUUUAAUUUUUUUUAAAUAAUAUGGGUUUUCACCCACAUUUUAAUUUGGCCCCGAAGACCAAAAAUAAAUUAAUUCACUUAUCAUUAUACAAUAUUUCUGCAUAUAUUCUUUGCAUAUUUGUUUGCAUAUAUAUUUGUGUUUGCCUGCAGGAAUAUAUGAACCUCAAGUUCAUAAUUACUUUGAAAUCCGAAGUUUCUUAUACACAUGCCUUGUUUGAAAACCCGAAGUUUUCACUUAAAUAUAUCACCCAUGAAAACCCGAAGUUUUUCAUGCAAAAUUAAACCAAUACAUGUCUAUUAGAACCUGUAUGUUCUACUCCUAUGUGAAUGGAUUGAUUUUUCUCCAUUACACUAACCACAUCUUGUCCAUCUAUUGUGAUAGGAACAUGUCGAACUUGAACAAACUCGACUUCACCGCUUUGGAGGUUUCUGGAAGGAACUACCUCAAGUAGGUUCAAGAUGUGAAGCUCCACCUCACUGCAAAGAACUUGCGUCCUGCUAUUGAAGAAGCAACAGAUAAACCUGUUGGCGAGGCCUGAAAAAGCCACUGCUAUGAUCUUCAUCCAAAGACAUAUCCAUGACGCUCUACAAACUGAGUACCUUGCUGAGGAGGAUCCACGUGCAUUAUGGGUCGCUUUGGCUGAUCGUUUCGAUCACCAAAAUGACAUAUUCUUGCCUGAAGCAAGACACGACUGGCAGCACUUGCGCUUCCAAGACUUUAAGUCUGUGAAUGAAUAUAAUUCUGAAGUUUGUCGAAUCCGAUCACUUCUCAAGUUUUGCAAUGAAACUUUGACUGAAGAGGAUCUCCUGGAGAAGACCUACUCGACCUUCUCUGCCUCUAAUAUUGUCCUGCAGCAACAAUAUAGAGCUCAGAAGUUCACUAAGUUCUCGGAUUUGAUCUCUGUUUUACUUCUUGCUGAAAAGCAGAACCAGCUGUUGAUGAAGAAUCAUCAAGCUCGACCUACUAGGGCUACUGCUGUGCCUGAAGCACAUUAUAGCACUCAUUAGCACCCAAAACGCCAAAAGAGGCGUGGUAAGGGCGGCCAGAAGCCAUCCCACCAAGGUCAACAGAGCCAAGGCCCAUCCAAGGGAGGAAACAAAGCCCAGAAGCGCCCAAACCUCGCUCCCAAGGCCCCGAACUUCAAGAAUAAGGGCAAAGCACCUGCCACAAUGAAUGACGAUAUGUGCUAUCGUUGUGGUUCCAAGGACCAUUGGUCCCGUAUUUGCCGUGCUCCCAAAAAGGUUGUGGAUGCAUAUCAUUCUCGUCGUACGAAGUUUGAAUCAAACUUCCUGCAAGUGGACGAACCGGAGACUACAAAGAUGGAGGUUUCUGAUUUUCAGGAGGAUACCACUCCUAUGGAAGAUUAGAAUCUUAGACAUAGACUUAUUUUUCAGUUAAAAUAAGACAAUUGGGGCCGAAUUCCACCUUGUGGCCGAACCCCCCCUUGUUUUUGGUUGAUUUUGAACAAUUUUCCUUUAUGUUUUGGAUUAUUAGUUGGCGAUUUAUUUUGGAUAUUAAGUUUUUUCCUUGAAUAAAUGAAAUUAUUUUGAAUUGAUACUUGUUUUUAUAAACUUUUAUGCAUGUGACCAAUUCAAAUUAAUUUUUCAUUCUAGGUAUGACUAGUGGGAAAGUUAGUUGUCUGGCAGAUCGUGCAACCACGCAUACUGUUUUGCGUGAACGCAUCUAUUUCACUAACUUCGUACCUAAAAAUGCACCUCUGACAACCCUCUCAGGCCCAUCCAACCUGAUCGAAGGAUACGGUAAGGCACGUAUAAUGUUGUCCAAUGGUACAAUCUUGACCAUUGCUGAGGCACUCUAUUCUCCACGUUCCGGAAGAACGUUACUAAGUUUCAAGGACAUUAGAGAUAACAAUUACCACGCUGAAACCCACGUAGAAAACGGAGUUGAAUUUCUGUGCGUAACUUCCUACGAAUAUGGUCAGAAGCGUAUUCUAGAGAAGAUGGAGCGUAACCCGAGUGGUCUGUAUACUACGACCAUACGCCCCAUAGAAUGCCACUAUGUGGCCGGCCCUACCACAGGGACCGCGCACGAAAUUACACUUUGGCAUGAUCGUUUGGGACAUCCUGGACGAAUAGCGAUGCGCCGUAUCCUCAAAACUUCACACGGGCAUCCACUAACCCGAAGCUUAGGUUCGAUCCAUGAAAUUGCAUGCCAAACAUGUUCUAUGGGAAAGCUUAUUACUAAGCCUUCUUAUGAUAAGAUUCGUUCGAAUCCUCCCAUUUUUCUACAACGGAUUCAGGGGGACAUUUGUGGACCGAUUCAACCUCCCUGCGGACCAUUUAGAUAUUUUAUGGUUUUGGUUGACGCUUCUACACUUUGUCACACGUGUGCUUGUUGUCCACAAGGAACGCUACAUUCUCCAAACUGUUGGCUCAGGUUAUCAAGCUCAGAGCUCACCACCCUGAUUAUCCGAUCAAAUCUAUUCGAUUGGAUAAUGCUGGAGAAUUCACAUUUAAAACUUUUGAUGACUAUUGCAUGUCGGUUGGGGUUGAAGUUGAACAUCCUGUACCCCAUGUUCACACCCAGAACGGCCUGGCAGAGGCUUUCAUUAAGCGUUUACAAAUGAUUGCUCGAUCGUUGGUCAUACGUACCAAGCUCCCGAUCGCUGCUUGGGGCCAUGCAAUAUUGCACGCAGCAAAGUUGGUCCGCCUGAGGCCUGUUGCGACACAACCAUUUAGUGCCCUUCAGUUGGUCACCGGAUGCGAACCCGACAUAUUGCAUCGGCGCGUUUUUGGUUGUGCGGUCUAUGUGCCGAUCUCGCCGCCCUUACGUACAAAAAUGGGGCCUCAGCGAAGGAUGGGAAUCUAUGUCGGAUAUGAUUCUCCUUCGAUUAUUCGUUACUUAGAACCUUUGACAGGCGAUCUGUUUACCGCUCGUUUCGCGGAUUGUCACUUCUAUGAGACAGUCUUCCCGUCGUUAGGGGGAGAUAAGAACGUCAACGUUCCUAAUGAACGACGCGAAUUAUCGUGGAUGACUCCCACUUUGUCUCAUUUAGAUCCCCGCACCGCUCAGUCUGAAGCUGAAGUGCAGCGCAUAUUAGAUCUCCAGAGCAUAGCUCAGAGCAUGCCAGAUGCUUUCACUGAUCUAGCGCGCGUGACAAGAUCACAUAUUCCAGCUGCGAAUAUGCCUGCAAAGAUGGAUGUACCAAAUGUACGACGGACUACCCUCCUGGAAGCCCGGGACGCCAAUUCUGGUGAUCCACGUACAUUAGCGGCUAGCCAAUCAUCUGCCCCUACACAAAAGCGUGGCAGACCCCUUGGUUCAAAGGAUUCACACCCCCGGAAGAGGGAAAACCACGGCACAAGGUCCUGAAGAGCCUACCGUGAAUCCGACUAUCGCUUACUCAUUUUACCCAACUCAUGAGGAAAUUCUAGAUUAUGGAAGCGUCCUUGAAGAGACGAAUCCUCCUCCCGAGAAUCGUGAGAUUUCGGUCUAUUAUGCUAGCUUAGAUGAUGUGUGGCGUAGAAAUGAGAUGAUUGUCGACGAUGCAUUAGCAUUUGCAGUAGCUACUGAGAUCAUGUUGAGCGAUGACAUUGAACCGCGUUCCGUUGAUGAAUGUCGACGUAGAGCUGAUUGGUCAAACUGGAAACAAGCAAUCCAAGUCGAACUUGAUUCACUUGCGAAACGUAAGGUGUUUGGACCUGUAGUUCCUACUCCUCCACAUGUGAAGCCCGUUGGCUACAAGUGGGGUUUUUCGUUCGGAAGCGUAAUGAGAAGAACGAAAUUGUGCGUUACAAAGCUCGUCUUGUAGCACAAGGUUUCUCACAACGCCCCUGAAUUGACUAUGACGAAACUUACUCACCCGUUAUGGAUGUGAUUACUUUUCGAUACCUUUUCAGUUUGGUAGUUUCCGAAAAACUGGAUAUGCAGCUGAUGGACGUAGUAACCGCGUAUCUCUAUGGGGAUCUUGAUACGGAAAUUUAUAUGAAAGUUCCCGAAGGACUUACAUUGACUGGUUCAAAUAUUUCCAAACCCCGGAACACGCUCUCAAUUCGGCUGAGGCGUUCACUAUACGGUUUGAAACAAUCCGGAAGAAUGUGGUAUAACCGUUUAAGUGAGUAUUUGACUAGUCAGGGAUAUGUGAAUAACGAACUAUGCCCUUGUGUGUUCAUUAAGAAGUCACAUUCCGGAUUUGCGAUUGUUGCAGUAUAUGUCGAUGACAUGAAUCUCAUCGGAACUCCUGAAGAGCUCGCGAGAACUGCUUCGCACCUGAAGUCGGAAUUUGAGAUGAAAGAUCUAGGUAAGACUCGAUACUGUCUCGGUCUCGAGAUAGAGCAUUGUUCGGAUGGAAUCCUAGUACAUCAAUCGAACUACACCCAGAAGGUGUUGCGCCGUUUUAAUGAGGAUAAAGCGAAGUCUUUGAGUACUCCUAUGGUUGUUCGUACGCUAGAUGCAAAGCGAGAUCCCUUCCGUCCGAAGGAGGAUGAUGAAGAGAUUUUGGAGCCUGAAGUUCCUUAUCUAAGUGCGAUAGGCGCUUUAUUGUACUUAGCUCAAUGCACUAGACCCGACAUCUCCUUCGCUGUUAAUCUUUUGGCAAGAUACAGCAAUGCACCAACACGCAGACAUUGGACUGGCGUGAAAGACAUCUUCCGUUACCUUAGGGGUACUAUGGAUUUGGGCUUAUUCUAUCCCUACGAAUCCUCGAGUGAUGCCGCACCCUAUGCUCAUCGGGUUGAUUCUCGCCUUGUUGGUUAUGCCGAUGCUGGAUACUUAUCUGAUCCGCACAAGGCGCGUUCUCAAACGGGUUAUGUCUUUACCGUUGGAGGCACCGCAAUAUCUUGGAGGUCAACUAAACAGACCUUAGUUGCCACUUCGUCUAACCAUGCUGAAAUUCUCACCUUACAUGAAGCAACUCGGGAAUGCUUUUGGUUGAGAGCAGUAGUGGGCCAUAUUCGAAGCUCCUGUGAUCUUCAUCCCGCCGUUAAUGCCCCGACGACGAUUUUUUAAGACAACGCAGCUUGCAUCGAACAGCUCAAGAAGGGUUACAUCAAAGGAGACAACACCAAGCAUAUUGCGCCGAAGUUCUUCUUUACACAUCAACAACAAGAGCAUCAGAAGAUUGAAGUCAUGCAAAUCCGAUCACAAGACAAUCUGGCCGACCUCUUCACCAAAUCACUACCGAAGGCGACGUUUCAGAAGCUUGUUCAUGGAAUUGGUAUGCGUAAACUUUCUGAGUUGUAACUUUGCUGUUUCUCUGUGGAAUUAUGUCAAACUCAGGGGGAGUAUCUUCUAGAUACUUGCUUGAUCUUAAUGUACUCUUUUUCCCUACGAUUAGGAGCAUUUUUCCCACUGGGUUUUUGCUACCUAACUAGGUUUUAACGAGGCACCCACCUUGGGCUGGUCAUAUCCCUGAUGACGUCCUGUAGACGUUUCUUUUGACUUUGCAUUUCUCACGCAUUUUUCCUUAGACUAUGGAUUUUGUCCCUACUUGGGUUUUUGCCAUAGCCUUAGGGUUUUUUAGUGAGACUUACUACUUAUGCAAGUUCCUACCUUAUUGAGAAUAAGCGUUGUUCCUUGGAAUCAAUGCCGACGAGUCGACUUCCUCAACUUCUGCAUGAUGCUGAAUCUACCUUGAGUAUUUACCCACUCAAGGGGGAGUGUUGUAAACAUUCCUAGUUUAAGUAUGAUUGUGUAAAUCCUAGAUAAGAUUUGAUUCUAGUUAUCCUUUCCUAUUGCAACUUGUAUUACUUGGAGGAGAAGGAAUAUCUUCUCUCCCUUUACUACUAUAAAUAAAGGCACAAUGUAGGAGGGAUAACAACACACACAUUCCCCUACAAUUCUACAAACACACAUCUCUCUCCUCUCUCUCUCUGCCGCCGGCCCUAGUCCAUCUGUCAGAUAAAAUAGACCACAACAAGAUUUUAGUAAUUCACAAAAUAUGUUAGAUUACUUUGAACAUACUUUGGAUGGUUUAGUUUUGUAUUACUUCCAGUCAUGGAAAAUUCAAAAUCCAGAACAGCAUCAGGCAGCUAAAAUACAUUUUAAUAUUGAUGGUUUUGUUACUUUGAUUAAACAAGAGUUUUUAGAUCAUAAUAGGUUAGAUGGCAGAAGCGAACAAGAACAAAUAAGAGCAAUUAGAAAUUUAGAACAAUUACAAAUUUGCGAUUUACAGUAUAUAGCUGAGUAUACCACAGAUUUCUUUAAAUAUUUAGGAAGAACAAGUAGAAUUAGUGAUAUUAAUUUAUUAGAUACUUAUAUGACAAAAAUAAAAAGACCAAUAGGUGAAAAGAUUUGGAAUGAAUGGCAAAAACAUCCGAAGAAAAAUGAUAUUGCUAUAGGAUCUAGAAUUCAACAUGUAUAUGAUAUACUCAGACAAGAGUGUAGUCAAAUAAAAGCUAAGAGACAAAUUAGGAAACAAUUUUACAUGUGUUGUAAAAAUAUAGAUUUACCACAAUAUGCCAUAAGAAAAAGCAUAAGAAAAUAUACAAAAAGAAAUAUAAGUCGUAUAAACCCUACAAACAGCAUAAGAAUUUCAGCAUAACACCUUCAAAAACAUAUAGAAAAAGAAAAUAUAUUCCAAAACAAUUUAGAAAAAGAAGUGGCAUACCUUGAAUUAGAAAAUAUAAAGCACCAAAAGAUAAGAGUAAUUGUAAAUGUUAUUCAUGUGCAGAAGGUGGACAUAUUAGACCUAAAUGUCCAAAAUUAGGUAAACAGUCGAAAGUAAAAGUACAUUUGAUGGAGUUGUUUAAAUUAGAAGAAGAUGAGGAUAUUCAGUCAAUAUACAGUUUAGAUAAUUUAAGUGAUAAUGAGAGCAUUUAUAGUAUAGAGAGUAUUAACAUGAUAGAUUCAGACUCAGAAGAUUCAAGUAACACAAAUAGUGAUUUAGAAGAGUAUAUGUGUGCCUUCAUAGAAGAACAGCAUGAAGAAGGAUAUAAAUACAUCAAUGCCAACGAGUCGACUUCCUCAACUUCUGCAUGAUGCUGAAUCUACCUUGAGUAUUUACCCACUCAAGGGGGAGUGUUGUAAACAUUCCUAGUUUAAGUAUGAUUGUGUAAAUCCUAGAUAAGAUUUGAUUCUAGUUAUCCUUUCCUAUUACAACUUGUAUUACUUGGAGGAGAAGGAAUAUCUUCUCUCCCUUUACUACUAUAAAUAAAGGCACAAUGUAGGAGGGAUAACAACACACACACAUUCCCCUACAAUUCUACAAACACACAUCUCUCUCCUUUCUCUCUCUGCCGCCGGCCCUAGUCCCUCUGUCAGAUAAAAUAGACCACAACACAAAUGACAAACAUAAUCCUAAAUUAUUAUAUACAUACCACAUUGUUACAUAAAUAGUUCAAAACAUAAAAACACAUUUGUCUUUAAUUAAUAUAGAAGUGUGGAAAAUAUAAAAAAGAUAUAUCACUCAUAAGGACAAGCUUUACAACUUUCGUAAAGAGCUCAACUUCGAAAUUUGCUAUUAUAAUUACAUAAACUAUAGGUCGAAAUUUAACAAUUGAUUGUCGUUUUCAUUUACGCUCCAUUCUUCUCACCAUUUUUUUCUCCAGAUUUUAUUUUUUGAAAACAUGAUCUUUCGAAGGAUGAAUGAAGAUGAAUGGUUUGCUUUGUUGAUAUUAUGUUCAAAGUUUUAACGUUAGUGAAAAUAUUGCUCCGAGUUUAUAAAGCCUCUAAAACUAUAUAACAUUGACUCGUAUUUUAGUUAACCAUAAAUAUCGGAACGUGAUAUCACGAUUUGCACCAUUCAUUUUUCUAUAUCCGCUAAAAGAUCAUGUUUUCAAAAAAGAAAAUAUAAAAAAAUGAUAUUCGGUGAGAAUAAUAAAGAAUAAACAACAAUCGACGGUCAAAUAUAAAUAUAAGGUUUAUGGAUUAUGGUGUCGGACUUCGGAGUUGAACCCUUCAUGAAAGUUGGAAAGCUUGUCAUUACGAGGGAUUGUUUAUUUUUAUUUUUUACAUUUUUCACUACAAUAAUUAUUAUGAAUUUUAUUAAUUUGCACUCAAAUAAAAAACAUUAUUCAUGAGGCUUUUUGGAGGAUUUUAAAAAUCUAAACUGCAAUGUAACCAUCGCCUAUGCGUGGAUGAUCCAAACACGAGCGUUUAUAUAUUCCUUGACAUUUUUCACACUUGUACAUAAAUUAUUAUUUAUUUUUAUUUAUUUGGACAUAUCCUAAAAAUACUAUUCACAAGGGUUUGUAGGGUUUUAAAAAUUCAAACAAUGGUAUACCCAUCUCAAAGCGCAGAGGAUGCGAUCAUGAGCAUUUGCAUAUUUUUUCAUAUUUUUUCGUACUUGUAAAUUAAUUAAUAUAGUUUUUAAUGUGUUUGGUAUUUUUAAAUUACUUUGAUAUUUUUAUUUUCCAAAGUGUUUUAUAAUGUUUUAAUCUAACUUUUAAGAGGAUAAAACAUUUAGGUUAAAUUAGAUUGUGCACCCUUAAGUUUGGGUGCAACUACAAUGUCAUACUUCAUCUUUAAAAUUUUACAAUGUCAUACACAAACUUAUGAUUUGAUUGCAAUUUUUUACAUUUGUUAGUCAACCCGUUAGUUUGACCGUUAAAUGAUGACUUAUACUAAUGUGAAACAUGUGACACGUAAAAUAAAAUCAAAUUAGUUUAAAAAAGGGCCCACCUUUUUAAUCCUAGCACUAAACCCAGUCGGACGCCUCCCACGCCGUAAGCCAGCACACCCAUCACCACCUCUCUCUCAUGGUCUCACCUUAUUGUGCAAAAAUUCCGUCACCAUGCUUCAGGCUAAGACUAUAUAACUAGUCAAUGAUGACCUUCUAUGAAAACACCGAUGCCGUACAUUCUCUUUGAUAUUAGAACCGUUGAGCAAAGCGGGACGCACAACGACAUUAUUAUGGCAAUGUGGCUGUUGGUUUUGGUGGUGUUGAGGGUGGUGCCGUGGUGGUGGUUGUGUGGACUUGAAGUUGUUGAGCGCUAAACAACAUCCUCAGUUAUAGGGCCCCACUCCCACGAAAGAAAGGGAGCACUUCGUGUGUGAGUGGCCUCCGUGGUUAAAGAGAUUUUUCAAUGUGACCGGCAUAUGGAGUAGUGCAUCAUGUGUCAUUAUGCAAAUGGUGAGAUAUGUGUGCUAAAAAGUUAAUAACUUAAAAAAUAAAACUUCCCACCACUCUUAUUAAAACACAAUGGUGUACCACUUUUAUUCUCGUCACAACUAAAAACUUCUCCGGUGGUUGAGCAGAAAAUUUUAAUUACGAAGGAUACACAAGUGACACAUUACGUGUUUUAAUAGGAGUUGUGAGAAAUUUUAAUUUUUAAGUUAUUAACUUUUUAGCAUACAUAUAUCAUAAUUUGUAUAAUGACAUGUGAUGAAACCACCCGUAUAUCGGUCACACUGAAAAAUUUCUCGUUAGUUGAGAGAUCCACCUAGAAAAGCUUCAGUUCUAAAAUAUAAGACUCACUGCCAUUUCCAAUUGUUGGAUCUAGAGAUUAUGUACCUGUCAAGACCCUGAGUGCACCAAUGUAGGACUCGCCGCCAUCUCCAAUUGCUUUGGCAAAUGCAGAUCCUCGCGACCCAGCUGCAGACCCACUGCAUCCGCCUAGCCGUUCCUGCUCCCAUAAUUGAAAUUCAAACUGAAAUUAUCGUGAUUGCCAUGCCGGAACUCAUUGGAAGUGGAACAAUUGUUAGAAUUCAAAUUGAGAUUCUUGUCGAAGCCAUUGUUGAUCUUCGAAACCAUGCUGAGCUUCUAAUCUUGGUGAUGUUUCAGCUGGGCAAGGUUGUGGAGGGGAUUAUUGUUGGGACCUUGAAACCCGACUAGAUUCCUCAAAUCCUCCAAGUUUCCCGGGAAUUUGUUUCUGGCGAACUGGAGAAGGGAUUCGGUGGAGACGAAGGGGGAAGGAUUUUACUUUUCAUUAAUUUUAAUUUAAUUAAUCUUUAAUAUUUUUAAUAUCUAAUUGAUUUCUCAAUCCAGUUGGUGAGGAAGUGGAUUUCAAGUUUGUCAUGUCAUUAUUUACAAAGAAAUUGACUGAGAUUAGACAUUGCAAUUAAUUCGUAAGAUCAGGUAUAACAUUGCAUUAUGUAAAAUAUGAGGUAUGAGAUUGUAGUGCAACUCAUUAGCUGUAGGGGAGAGAGUAAAAAACUUUGUUAGGUCGUUAACUCUAAAAUUGAAUGUUUGUAUUUUUGCUUAUACUAAUACUAAACUAGAAUUUAUUCCAGUAAUGAUAAUAAGAAUAUGUGUGUUGUAGACUCUAAAAUUAAUAGUCUGUCUCUUUUUAUUUGAAUUUUGAAUAGGUCAAGUAAAAUUUAUCCUAAUAAUGAUAAAUAAGCAACUCUCAUAAUAAAAAUAAAUAAAUAAAACUUAAAUGAUUUUUAACUUAUAUAGAAUAAUAACAUAAUAGUACAUACUAGCAAUGGUGCCCGCGUGAUGUUGCGGGUGUUAAAACUGUAUAAAACAUGUGAAAAGUUCGAAAUAUAUACGAUAUGCAAUACUAUUUAGAUAUAUGUUGAAAUCUGUUUACAAUCAUAUGGAUUGGCGGUUCCAUUGUACUAAUAUUCACAUCUUUUACAAAUUUGAAGUCCUAAGUGUCCUAAACUAAAGAAAAGAUAAAAGUGGUUAUAUUGCCAUUGUUCUAAUAUUCACAUCUUUUACAAAUUUGAAGUCCUAAGAGUCUUUAACUGAAAGAAAAGAUAAAAGUUUCUUUCUCACCGAAAUCUAUCAAUUUGAAUAAAAUCUACGAAAGAAGUAUAUAGAUUGUAGCAUACCUUGUAAUUUCUGCAAGUUGGACACCUGCUAUAUCAAUAGUGACAUAAUUUCUUCCUAAGCCAUCGGAAAAAUCAAAAUUGAACAGAACUUUCUCCCCACUCCUCUGACCAUAUAAAAGAAGUAAUGUUUCUCUUUUGGAACCUCUAAUCACAUGACACAAAACCACACAAAACAUAAAUUAAAAAAAAAAAACUGAACACAUUAACUCUUGACAAAAACUUAUUACCCAAGGAUGGAAAGUCAUUGAAAACACAAAUCGCCAAUGAAGAAAUGAGGAAACAAAUCAGCAACCUAACUUAUAUAGCAUUAGGAUGAACCAUGCUAAUUUGUUCAUAACUGAUCUGUCUCCCUACAUUUUUCAAACCUGCAACCACAUAGAAUAUUAUAACAUAAUGAUCAAACAAAACAGACUUAACUUAAGCACACAUUAACUGUCGAGCAUGGAAAGGCUUUGGUUUCUUGCAAAAUAAUGAAAAAUAAAAUAAGAAAUAUAAACAGAGGUUAAUGAUCCAGCUCAGCAGAUCAGUUUAGAGGUUGUUAGUGUUUGUUAGUAUGUUCAGUAUGUACCAAGAGAGCUAAGCAAGGUGAUUAAUUGUUGUAUAAAUUGCUAGCUCUCUCUGUUGAAUAGUUAAUUCAUUCAUACAAUUAUAGAGCAACUAUUAUAUCACUCUCUCUAAAAUUCCUUUUCUCUUUUGUUUACUUUGCAUUUCUCAAAUAUUUCAACAUAGUUUGGGAAGUUCAAGUAUACCGGUUGAUAUUCCACAGUCGAGAAGGGAGGCCUAGUUUGGGAAGUAUAGAUUCUCACCUUCUCUGGGUCUAGUACUCUGCAUCGAUUAUCAUGAGAGAGAGGGAGAAAGCGGGUAUUCGUUGAGAGCAUUUGAGUACUGUAUAUUGGUACAAAACCAAUUACAUACUUGUAAUUAAAAAACAUCUUACAAUCGUGCAAUCUAGAACUUGAACAAAUACAAAAUAAAAUGAAAAUAAUUACAGAACAUAUGAAUACCAUAGUUUCUUAAAUGGCAUAGUCUGCCUGCAUAUAAACAUUUCCAUGUAAAUUCAUACCUCACUAAAAAGAGAACAGAGAAUAAACCAUACUUCAUACAAUAUCAUGAAUUAACUUAGGAAAAAUUCUUUAACCCAUAUUUUAAAAUUAAAGUCACAAUUUGAACAACGAAAAGAGAACCCAAGAGCUAAACCCUAACAAAAAAUGUCAGAGAACUCAUCAGGAAACCCAAGCUUUCUAGGUUUAAAAUUUCUUCAAUAAAACCCAAGAUUUCCUUUAAUGGAAUUCCAAAAAGCAUUCUCUAUCAGCAUCAGGCAUAACCCCACUUACAUGUGUCCCUUGUGAAAACUUCCCAUUUGAAGUUGUUUCCAAUUGAUUGUCCACCAUAAAAUGUUUUAAAUCAUUGUAGGCAUGCUACAAACAAAAUGGGAUUGAACUUGGACUUUCCAAAAAAUUCACCAAAUCAAACCACAAAAAAUUAAUCGCAACAAACAAAGUGCACAAUUUGUUGAAAGCAAUAGAUCCAACAUUCAUACAAAGGAAAUUCGAUCAUGAAUUGAAUAAAAGAGUGAGAGAGAGAGAGAGGAACCUCAAGCACUUGGAACCCUAUACAUAAAAGAGGCAAAAAACGAUGACCACUGCUUCCCAAAAUUAAAAAAGAACCAAAUACCCACACUAAAAAUCCAAACACAGAAACAAAACCCCAAAAAUUAAUUAUUAUUAUUAUUAAAUAGAUCUGCAAACAAAAUAAGACCCAAAAAAAUUUAAACUUUUGUUCAAGAAAACAUUUAAGAGGAAAAACAUAAAUUAUAUACCUUAAUCAGAAAGGGCUUGCAAGCUUCUAUACAAAACCCUAAAAUUCGAAUAGCAACGUUUCCUGAAAUAAAAAAUGAAAUCAGAUCAAACAACCACAUCACCAAAAAAAAAAAAAAAAAAAAAAAGCAAAAUACUCAAUGCAAAAGGCCAAGGCUUGUGUGGUUAUUUUUCUGUGUUCAAACCUUCAUCAGAACACAUAACACAUGCCAAUAAAAUAUUUCGCCAAAUCUGAAAGCCAUAACACAAACUAAUUUAAAAUUCUUGCAACUCAAAAUUUGAAUAAAAAAAAUCAUCAAAUUAAAACUCCCAAACCCAAUUCAAUCCUUGAUCAGAAUACAUAACAAAGGCUAAUAAAAUAUCUCACCAAAAUAAACAAUCAAUUCUUAACAUCUAAAAUUGAAGAGAAUAAAACCCAUAGUUUUGGGAAAAAAACCCUCCCACAUGCAAGUUUUGAAUAGCUGAACGAGAACUUCCUAGUGAGUCAUUCAUCUUGGAAUUGCUCUCACUGAUUCUCGCUUAACUUCGGAGUUCCUACGGAACCCGAAGCCAAUGAGCUUCCAAAAAGCAUCGUGCUAGGUAGAGAUGAGAAUAUAUAUAUAAUACUUACAUUAUCUACUCCCCUGGGCGAUGUGGGAUGUUACAAUCCACCCCCCUUAGGGGCCCGAUGUCCUUGUCGGCACACUUCCGGCCAGGGAUUGGCUCUGAUACCAAAUUGUCACAUUCCGGCCCCGGCCACCACCACAUUCCAGGCUCAAUUCCGCCAUAGCACGAUAUUGUCCGUUUU